Molecule: small nuclear RNA, 110 nt
Organism: Antechinus flavipes (yellow-footed antechinus)
Lineage: Eukaryota; Metazoa; Chordata; Mammalia; Dasyuromorphia; Dasyuridae
Source: RefSeq, a predicted model, not a curated record
AAGUCACAACCCUCAGCAACAUAUAUACUAAGAUAGGAAUAAUGUGGAGAAUAUUAGCAUGAUCCCUGUGCAAGGAUGACAAGCAAAUUUGUGAAGCAUUCCAUAUAAUG